UCCUCCUUAGCUCAGUUGGUAGAGCGCGUCACUUGUAAUGACGAGGUCAGUCGUUCAAGUCGGCUAGGGGGAA
This is a non-coding RNA of Armillaria luteobubalina, 73 nucleotides long. Lineage: Eukaryota; Fungi; Basidiomycota; Agaricomycetes; Agaricales; Physalacriaceae. The record is from the annotation of a GenBank genome assembly.